ACGGGAGGCAGCAGUGAGGAAUAUUGGUCAAUGGACGAGAGUCUGAACCAGCCAAGUAGCGUGCAGGAUGACGGCCCUAUGGGUUGUAAACUGCUUUUGUACGGGAAUAAAGUGACCUACGUGUAGGUUUUUGCAUGUACCGUAAGAAUAAGGACCGGCUAAUUCCGUGCCAGCAGCCGCGGUAAUACGGAAGGUCCGGGCGUUAUCCGGAUUUAUUGGGUUUAAAGGGAGCGUAGGCCGUGCUUUAAGCGUGUUGUGAAAUGUAGGCGCCCAACGUCUGCACUGCAGCGCGAACUGGAGCACUUGAGUACGCAGGAAGUAGGCGGAAUUCGUCGUGUAGCGGUGAAAUGCUUAGAUAUGACGAAGAACUCCGAUCGCGAAGGCAGGUGUCCGGGGUGUAACUGACGCUGAGGCUCGAAAGUGCGGGUAUCAAACAGGAUUAGAUACCCUGGUA
RNAcentral lists this ribosomal RNA (454 nucleotides) under uncultured Prevotella sp. RNAcentral describes it as "bacterial SSU rRNA". It matches the Rfam family "Bacterial small subunit ribosomal RNA", at positions 341 to 792 of the family's 1533-position model. Lineage: Bacteria; Pseudomonadati; Bacteroidota; Bacteroidia; Bacteroidales; Prevotellaceae. The record is from RNAcentral.